Molecule: ribosomal RNA, 36 nt
Filed under: Prospero autumnale (starry hyacinth)
Lineage: Eukaryota; Viridiplantae; Streptophyta; Magnoliopsida; Asparagales; Asparagaceae
Source: RNAcentral
GGGCGCGAUCAUACCAGCACUAAAACACCGAAUUCC